This 514-nucleotide ribosomal RNA is filed under the name uncultured bacterium. RNAcentral describes it as "partial 16S ribosomal RNA". It matches the Rfam family "Bacterial small subunit ribosomal RNA", at positions 28 to 523 of the family's 1533-position model. The record is from RNAcentral.
GAUGAACGCUGGCGGCGUGCCUAAUACAUGCAAGUCGAGCGAACUGAUUAGAAGCUUGCUUCUAUGACGUUAGCGGCGGACGGGUGAGUAACACGUGGGCAACCUGCCUGUAAGACUGGGAUAACUUCGGGAAACCGAAGCUAAUACCGGAUAGGAUCUUCUCCUUCAUGGGAGAUGAUUGAAUGAUGGUUUCGGCUAUCACUUACAGAUGGGCCCGCGGUGCAUUAGCUAGUUGGUGAGGCAACGGCUCACCAAGGCAACGAUGCAUAGCCGACCUGAGAGGGUGAUCGGCCACACUGGGACUGGGACACGGCCCAGACUCCUACGGGAGGCAGCAGUAGGGAAUCUUCCGCAAUGGACGAAAGUCUGACGGAGCAACGCCGCGUGAGUGAUGAAGGCUUUCGGGUCGUAAAACUCUGUUGUUAGGGAAGAACAAGUACAAGAGUAACUGCUUGUACCUUGACGGUACCUAACCAGAAAGCCACGGCUAACUACGUGCCAGCCGCCGCAGUAA